CUGGCUGAGGCCAGGGCUAAGAACCCACCUGCCGGGAUGCACCAGGGCGGAGCCGCCUCAGUUGUUAGAUUACCUAUCAGUUCUUGAAAACAGUAACCUGUCUUACCCAAAAUCACCCCUCCCAUCUCAUUGUAGGUUCUCCCACCUCCCUUGGUAGUUUUCUUGCACCACCCUCAACAAUUAAUUUUAAUGUGCAUUCCUGCUUAACUAAUGAGGAAGCUGAAGAUGGAAGAGUUUGAGUUGACUUCUCCAGGGUCUUCAAGAUAGCAAGAGACAAAAAAAAAGAAGUCAGAAUUUGAAACCUGAUUUUUCUGGCUUUAACAGCAAAGUAUUUCCCAGGCUUCCCUUUGUAGGCCCCCGUGUUGGUGUCUGAACCAGUCUCAUGAAUGUCUAGCUCAGAGGAAAGAGGCCCCUCUGCCUUCAGAUUUAAAGAAGGGUCAAGAAAGACACAUGUGACUUAACUGUUUAUUCUACUCACAAAACACUCUCUUUUUUUUUGUCUCUUAGGCUUUCUAGUGCUCAGAAUUUGCUUUCAAAAAGGUUAUUCCCCUACCAGGUACAGUGGUUCAUGCCUAUAAUCCUAGCUACCCAGGCAGCUGAGAUGAGGAGAAUCACAGUUGGAAGCCAACCCAAUCAAAAAGUUCAGGAGGCUCCCCGCUCUCAACUAAUAAAAAGCUGGACAUAGUGUUAUAUACCUGUCAUCCUGUAAAUAGAAUUGUGGUCCAGAAAAACCCAGGUUAAAAAGAAAGAAAAGUAGUGUGUGUGUGGCUCAAAUG
Perognathus longimembris pacificus (Pacific pocket mouse) is the source of this 776-nucleotide long non-coding RNA. RefSeq lists it as uncharacterized. Lineage: Eukaryota; Metazoa; Chordata; Mammalia; Rodentia; Heteromyidae. The record is from RefSeq and is a predicted model, not a curated record. The transcript is spliced from 3 exons.